AGGAAAUGGGCCCCUUCUCUCUUCCUCCAGAGUCACCAAGUGAUCCUGGGAUGAGGACCCCAAUGGAAGGCAUCUGAUAAGAUAAGUCUUAUAAAAUAUAUAGAUUUAUGAUAAUUAAGAGUGAGCUAACAGAUGAGAAUCCUAGUCAUUGGCCAAGCAGCAUUUGUACCUAAUAGAAGUCUCUGUAUAUUAUUUGGGACCCUAACUCGGUGGGCAGAACUCAGAUGGCUGGCAGAAAGCACCCACAUGGCAGUAGGGCUUGGGAGGCUUUUGCCAGAAAGAUUUAUUGUAACAUCUUUCUAUUCUUUUAUUCUCAACUUAUCCAGUGUAGACUUUUAACUUGAUGAACCUUUAUGCUGACUCGACCCUUGCACCACAUUCACUUUUUUUUCAGAUAGAGAUUUAAUCACAACCAGGAUCAGUAAAACUAAAAUAAGGUCAGAGUCCAUGCUUCUGGUGAGCAGUAGUAAUGGUAUCCCUUCACACAAAAAUGGUAGAAGAGGAGCCAGUCACUGCACUGAAUUCAGGUACUUACAUCCUUCUCCAUUCUCUUCUCCAGGCCACUGUUCCCCAGAAAAUAAAGCCCAACUUCACUGGAGUGACAUUUAAGGAGAUUGUGGAUGCUUGUGCUUAGUCGGAGGUCUCCUUCCCCCGCCACUCAAGACUACAGCUCAUGGAAUAGUGACAUUCAUGCUUAGGACUUAUCGAGGACACCUUCUGCUGGCAUCCUCUUCCCAGGAUCACAUGGAGGCUCUGUAGAGAAGAGAGCAAGAGGAAGCACCCUGCUUAUAUUCUGAGUCUGCCUGCUAUGUCACUUCCUGCCUGGAUCACAAGACUUCUUACUACAUUUCGAAGAAUUCUCCUCGACUCCUAGUCCCACCUAUCCUGCUUCCUCAUUGGCCGAACAGUGCUUUAUCCAACAGCCAAUAAGAUAAGCAUACACAGAAGGACACUCUCCAUCACUCAGCCAAUGAUGCUUGUUCACAGGUUGCAUGAAUGGAUUUCAAGUGUGAGAACUGACUCAGGCUCUGGGCUUUCAGCCCCUAGGACUAAACAGGAAGCCAUGGAAAUUGCUGUAGGCUUUUCAGAACAGUGUUUCCUCUGAUGGAAAUUAUUUUAAAUAUUAAGAAAUGUGCUUUCCAUAGGAAUGGGAGCCCAUCCCACAUGGAGGGAUACUCCCUGAGCCUAGACACAUGGGG
RNAcentral lists this long non-coding RNA (1199 nucleotides) under Cricetulus griseus (Chinese hamster). Its description in RNAcentral is "lncRNA (ENSCGRG00015031182.1)". Lineage: Eukaryota; Metazoa; Chordata; Mammalia; Rodentia; Cricetidae. The record is from RNAcentral.